Molecule: long non-coding RNA, 650 nt
Organism: Eurytemora carolleeae
Lineage: Eukaryota; Metazoa; Arthropoda; Copepoda; Calanoida; Temoridae
Exons: 2
Source: RefSeq, a predicted model, not a curated record
AAUCAUAAAUCACAUUGAGUUAUUUAUGUACACUGUACAGGAGGAAGGGAGUUGGUACUGCCUUGAUGAAAGCUGUACAUGAGUAUGCAGAAAGUAUGGGAGUGUACAGGGUGUAUAUGUACUGCAGAGGGGAUAACAAGGCUGUUUUAAGACUUGGACAGAAAUACGGACUAAAACUGAAAGCGCAGCCUGGAGCAGAUUUACAAAUUGUGGAGCGACUCAUACAUUCUCAUAAAGCUCCAUAGGAAAAAGAGUUAAAAAUUGUGGAGAGACUUAACCUUCGCAUCAAGAUUAACUUGGAGCUCAGAGUUACCAAGUUGUGGAGCAAUACAAACGUUCUUUACCGAGCUCCUUAUUUUGGAGUCACUCAGUCAGUCUUUUAUUAUAUAGCUACAGAAAUAACUUGGAGAUUUCUUUUAUUUGAAUCAAUAUGAAUAUGAUCCUAAUCCCUGUUUAAAAGAGAUCUUAAAAAGUCAUAUUAACAGACUGAAAACCAUGCUGUACAACUACACCACCUAAAUAUAUUUUGUCACAUUAAUAAGUCUAUCAACUAUCACUGUACUCAAACUUGAUUCAUACCGUAACAUGUGUGCAGUCGUGUAUGUAAAUGAUUUUAAAUAAUUGUACAUUAAUAAAUAAUUCUAAUAAUU